ACGUGUACUAUUUUAGAUGCACAGUUCAUCUCUCCACUUCUCUAAUUCUCUCUUUCACUGCUCAGCAAUUCUCUUCUGCUUCCCCUAGUUCAAGGUGUCAUCUUUAUUUGGGGGAGUUUCUCAAUUUUUACGCUUCCAAUUAAUAAGGUUAGAUCUUUUAUAUCCUUACGUAGUUACGUUGGUUGUUUGAUAAGGUUGAAUUCUCUUUCUCUGUUCAGGAUUGUUCUUGAAUUUCGUUUCUUUAUGAUAUUGCGUUACUACUCUCUUCGUUUCAAUUUACCCGAGUUUGACUCACGGAGUUUAAGAAAAAAAAAAGAAAGACUUUUAAAACUUGUCUUAAGAGGUUAGGAGGUAAAAGCUUUGUGGGACCAUGAUAUUUGUGUGGUUAUAAAAGUUUCUCGUUAAGAGUAAAAUUGGUAAAAUGAAGAAUUUAAAGUUGAAUUAUUUUUAAAUUUAGAAAUGUGUCAUUUAUUUUGUAGGAGGUAAAAGCUUUGUGGGACCAUGAUAUUUGUGUGGUUAUAAAAGUUUCUCGUUAAGAGUAAAAUUGGUAAAAUGAAGAAUUUAAAGUUGAAUUAUUUUUAAAUUUAGAAAUGUGUCAUUUAUUUUGUAACAAACUAAAAAGGAAAGUACCUUAUCUAAUUGAUUUGAAACGGAGGUAGUAAUAUUUAAGCUUCAUAGCUGAAAAUUUGUGCCUCUAUCUCUCUUCCUCUAAAUUUUGUUUGUUUUGCUUUAUUUUGGUGUUUUCUUUUCAAAGUUUCUCCAUCCUUAUUCCAGAUUUUCUCUACUCUUUGUUAUUGGUUUUUUUCUCAUUUUCUUCUUUAUUUAUUCCACCUGUUUGUUGGUAAUGGAAAAUUGCUGGUAUCCCGUUGUUUUACUGCUGUUUGGAUAGUUUUCCUUGCUGCAUUUUGUACAUUCAUAUCAUUAGUUGUAUCUGAGUUGAAAAUGCGCAUAUAAAAUUGAGAAAUAGAUGCAUGUUGAGUUUAUCCAUGUUCCGUAAUUUUGAUCGGUUAAGAUUAUAUUUGUAAGGUGAAUAGGUUCCUUGCACAAGAUUAUUGGGAGGGGAAUUGGUACUCAAAAAUAAAACAAGAUUACCAUAUUGUAAUUGAUACUUCCUAUUCCAAUUGUGGGAAUUUAGCUUUGGCAUGCAAUGUGUUUGAUUUAACUCCCGACAGAAAUGAACAAUCAACACCAUCAAAGAAAAUAUAAAAAGCCAACUCCCUUAAUUAAGCAUUUACCGUUCAAAAUGCUUGGUUAGCCAAAGCUUCUGCUAUGAAGUUUAUUACCAUCUGAAUUCUUCGGUUACAACCUUAGUGAACUUGUGGAGCUUCGAAAAGGUUUGGAUAAUCACUAUUCCAGAGGAGCUCAACUCUAUCCAGAUAUGACAAUAAAAUUGAAAUAAUGGUGUAAUUAUUAAUGGGGCAAGUCCUUGGUGGUAAUCAUAUAAGAAAGACCUCAGUUUACGAUUUGCAACAAAAUGCUUAUUAUAUCUUUAUGUUCUUUGUAUUAUAGUGAAUUUAUAACAAUUCAUUUUUAUCUUCAUGCUCUUUGUAUUACAGUUG
Molecule: long non-coding RNA, 1559 nt
Filed under: Nicotiana tabacum (common tobacco)
Lineage: Eukaryota; Viridiplantae; Streptophyta; Magnoliopsida; Solanales; Solanaceae
Description: long non-coding RNA (NTAB_LNC005698)
Source: RNAcentral